Molecule: ribosomal RNA, 388 nt
Filed under: Enterococcus faecium
Lineage: Bacteria; Bacillati; Bacillota; Bacilli; Lactobacillales; Enterococcaceae
Description: bacterial SSU rRNA
Rfam family: Bacterial small subunit ribosomal RNA
Source: RNAcentral
AAAGGCGCUUUCGGGUGUCGCUGAUGGAUGGACCCGCGGUGCAUUAGCUAGUUGGUGAGGUAACGGCUCACCAAGGCCACGAUGCAUAGCCGACCUGAGAGGGUGAUCGGCCACAUUGGGACUGAGACACGGCCCAAACUCCUACGGGAGGCAGCAGUAGGGAAUCUUCGGCAAUGGACGAAAGUCUGACCGAGCAACGCCGCGUGAGUGAAGAAGGUUUUCGGAUCGUAAAACUCUGUUGUUAGAGAAGAACAAGGAUGAGAGUAACUGUUCAUCCCUUGACGGUAUCUAACCAGAAAGCCACGGCUAACUACGUGCCAGCAGCCGCGGUAAUACGUAGGUGGCAAGCGUUGUCCGGAUUUAUUGGGCGUAAAGCGAGCGCAGGCGG